This is a long non-coding RNA of Lepidothrix coronata (blue-crowned manakin), 375 nucleotides long. RefSeq lists it as uncharacterized. The record is from RefSeq and is a predicted model, not a curated record. The transcript is spliced from 3 exons. Lineage: Eukaryota; Metazoa; Chordata; Aves; Passeriformes; Pipridae.
GCAUUUUCUGUUACAGUACAGUAAUUUGACAUAAAUUGACACAUUCAUUAUAUUUGGGGGUGUUGGAGGUAUUUGGUUUUGAAUGAAGAUUAUAUGCUGUCUUUCAAACCUGUUCAGUCCCAAAAGCUGAAUCUGCAAAUUAUUUUAUCACAAUGUCAUGUUACCUGUCUAUGACAUUUCCCCUGGUUACAACUACCGUCAGACUGUGGGGACAAGACAAUCUUCAGUGCUUUGGUGGGGACAGCUGGGACUGAAAGUGGUGGAAUAGGGUUCCUCCAGGGCUAAAAAGUCAGGCAAAUUCUCCCUUUAAGAAGAGAGGCUGGCAUGUUACAGAACACUAGUAUGAUUUACCCUCUAUGGACAUAUUGAACAUCU